Molecule: ribosomal RNA, 231 nt
Filed under: uncultured bacterium
Lineage: Bacteria
Description: partial 16S ribosomal RNA
Rfam family: Bacterial small subunit ribosomal RNA
Source: RNAcentral
GAUCAGCUCAGGACGAACGCUGGCGGCGUGCUUAACACAUGCAAGUCGAACGAAGAGCGAUGGAAGCUUGCUUCUAUCAAUCUUAGUGGCGAACGGGUGAGUAACGCGUAAUCAACCUGCCCUUCAGAGGGGGACGAACAGUUGGAAACGACUGCUAUACCGCAUACGAUCUAAUCUCGGCAUCGAGGAUGGAUGAAAGGUGGCCUCUAUUUAUAAGCUAUCACUGAAGGG